RNAcentral lists this ribosomal RNA (509 nucleotides) under uncultured bacterium. Its description in RNAcentral is "partial 16S ribosomal RNA". It matches the Rfam family "Bacterial small subunit ribosomal RNA", at positions 29 to 523 of the family's 1533-position model. The record is from RNAcentral.
AACGAACGUUAGCGGCGCGCCUAACACAUGCAAGUCGAACGCGACAGGGCAACUCUGUUGAGUGGCGCACGGGUGAGUAACACGUAGGUAAUCUCCCCCCGAGUGGUGGUUAACCUUCCGAAAGGAGGGCUAAUACAGCAUAAGACCACGGCUUCGAAAGGAGCUGAGGUCAAAGCGGAGGAUCGCAAGACUUCGCGCUUGGGGAUGAGCCUGCGGCCCAUCAGGUAGUUGGCGGGGUAACAGCCCACCAAGCCUAAGACGGGUAGCUGGUCUGAGAGGACGAUCAGCCACACUGGAACUGAGACACGGUCCAGACUCCUACGGGAGGCAGCAGUGGGGAAUCUUGCGCAAUGGACGAAAGUCUGACGCAGCGACGCCGCGUGGGUGAUGAAGGCCUUCGGGUUGUAAAGCCCUGUGGGGAGGGACGAAUAAGUUUCAGCUAAUACCUGAAGCGAUGACGGUACCUCCUUAGCAAGCACCGGCUAACUCUGUGCCAGCCGCCGCCGUAA